Acanthochromis polyacanthus (spiny chromis) is the source of this 3399-nucleotide long non-coding RNA. RefSeq lists it as uncharacterized. The record is from RefSeq and is a predicted model, not a curated record. The transcript has 2 exons. NCBI's taxonomy places the organism in Eukaryota, Metazoa, Chordata, Actinopteri, Pomacentridae.
CUACCCUCCCCGCUGCACCGCAGCUGCCCAGAAUGAUUUUAUAAACAUUUUGCCAGUGGAUCAAUACCUGUAUUGAUCAACCAUUGUGAGAGUGAUCCGUCUAAAACCCAGAGCAGCCUAGAGCUCAGAGAUGGGAGGAGCGAAAGAGAGAGGCUGCAGAGAGGAUGGAGAAAGAGAGAGUCUGCAGCCACAGUGAAAAGGGAGAAGAGGUACAAGGGAAGAGAAGGGAAUCUGAGAGAGAAGCAGACGCAGAGCUGAAGGCAGGUGGGGAGGCAGAUUUCGGAAAACGCUACCAGGCCAUUGGGAUUGGGGAGAAACUAAUGGAAGAAUAUUUUCUCUUCUUUUCCUCUGGAAAGAAGAAGAACGGUCUGCACUUUUCCUUGGUGACAACAUGGGGACAAGGAAGACUUAGCACAUCCUGCUGCCAUAAAUUCUGUUGUUAACAGUAAAAUCAAAAGUGAAAUCCAGGAUCUUGUGGAAAGGAAUCAUCUGCAUCCUGGAUACAAACGUCCACAGAGGAAGAAAGAGAAACCUUUCUCAUAAAGGAAAAGUUGAAUCAACACUGACCUCAAAAGAUGAACAUGGCUGCAUGAAGAUGGCGUGACAAAUGACAGAUUAUUGCUGUUUUCAACUGGUGUGGAUGUAGCUGGCUUUGGAACAUUUUUUGACAUGUUGAAAAUUCGUUGGAUUGGAUUUAAUCUUUGCUACAUCUAAAAUUUUGUGGGAAUUCCUCCGAAUGGAUGACUUGCUGGACCGCUCAAGGCCACCAAAUACACUACAGCAAAGAAGAAGUGAAAGGGCUUCUUGGAUCUUCUCCCAUAGCUAAAAGGGAAACUAAUUUCCGUUGAUUAAUUUUAAAUGUGACUUUCUUGGACAUAACUGUGAACUUAAGGGGAGAUAAAUCCCUCAGACAAGCUGUGAUGGAAGACCUCAAUGGUCAUGAACUCACUUUGCACUUUAGCUCUGGUGUGGAAACACUGAGAGAAAAAGGCCUACACUCAACAGGUUCACUCCUGGGUGACCGAGCAGUUGGACGAAAACAAUGAAUAUGCUGUACCAAAGAGGCACCAACAAACAGCAUUGUCAAUAAAUUGUGGAAAAAAAUUAAGAAUUAUUAUGUGGUGCACAAUGCAAAUCUAAGUGUGUUGCAGUACUUAUCCUUGGCUGUGUCUCAUGUACAUAUAUUGGUAUGAUCCUCUGAUAUUUAAGUGGUAAACAAGAAAUUCAUAGAGGAUGUGGCUAACAGAGUUCAAUUCAAUUCUAAUGUUUUGUAAUUCGGAGCAAAAAGAAAAGGAAAGAUUUUCCUAUCAAUGUUUACAUAUGUAAUAUAUGAAUGCAUGUUCUCACAGUUCUUUACAUGUGAACAGACUGUACUUCUACUUAUCCAUACAAUGUGAAUGAAUGACCACACACUGUGGAAUUGGGUUGCAGCUCUUGAUUCAGAGUCAGUGCUUGGAACUGAACUGUAAGACAAAUGCAGCGCAGAUGAGGUUAAAGUACUGGCAACCAAGAGACUCAGCUGGUGUUUCAGUGGAGAGAGCAAAAUCAACAACACUGUACAAGGCUGUUUGCAACAAAGUUGUUCAAUGUACACAAUGCACACAUUAUGUGUUCAGUGCAGCAACAGAAAACAUUUUUAUUUACUAUUAUUGGCUUGUGAACUACAUUGAGUUUAUCACUUGUAUAAACCUUGCUUUUUUCUGCUCAGCUGUGAAAAUAGUUUAAAGAUAAAAACACGUGAAAAGCCUGCGGUCACAGGCCUGACAUGUACAUAAAUAUUAACAAAUGUGCUGCAGUAUCUGAUCAUCAUGGAAACCAAAUAUAAAUAAAAUUCAAAGUUGCAAAGCAAGCAAAAAAUUUGUUGAAGAUAUUGUUUUUACACUCUUAGUACACAGACAGAGAUUGUAGCUACAAUUAGCAAAGGUUGGUGUUCCAACCAAGCAGGAGGCUUCACUGGUGGGGGCCUGUUGUUAGAGUACCAAUGAAACACAAUCCUGGAAGUCCAUUUGAUCUAACAAAAUAUGUGUUUAAAGGCAUAUCAGACACCAAUGCACUGAACAACACAGAAAAGAUUUUCCGGUUCUGGAAAGUUAUCACUAUGUCAACUCUUUUGCCUCCAUUAUGAGGUACAACAGAAUACUGCACUCAUGUUGUAAUGGAAACUACCAAGAAUGUGCUCUUGCCUGUAUGUGACUGGCUGGCAGUACACCUUGUCGGAUAACACUGUGUUGCUUUGCCGCAAACGUUGGGCAACUUUUUUGCCAAACAACCUUGAGUUGUUUCAUUCCUACCAUUCUGGCUCCAUUCAAAUGAAUAAGAGGGCGAGUUUGCUUAUGCAGUGCUGACACUGACUGGUCAGUAACCUCAGUUGACUUAAAAAAAAACUGCCUCAGGCGAGAUAGAGGUCAUUAAAAACUUCAUUUCUUUACCUUUCUAUUUCACUGUCACGUAUGUUGAUGAUAGAAAGCAGCUCACUAUUUGUAAUAUCUAUUUUUUGCAGGCAGUUUGUGCCAUAAGUUGAGAUUUGGUUAAUUUCUUGUUUAUUGCCACUUAAGCAAGCAAGUUAAACAGUAAAGUUUCACACAUUGUGUUAUGUUUUAAUCAUCAUCAGCAGCAUUCAGUGUAUUUGGUUAAUACAUAAGGAUGUAUACAGAAAUCUGUGUCACUAUUUUGCACAAUAAGACAAAUAACCACAAGGGUGGCUUGAGCUGCUAAUCUUCUAAUAGCUUUCAUUCAUACUGGUGUCGUCCUAUUGUCUAUAUCUGUGUAAUUUCAAGAAGAUAAGCACUUAAGUGUUAUCACCUUACUCAGAGAUUUAAUUCAUGUACUAUCAAAGCCGCACUGGGGCACUGAAUCAUUUUCUUGUUUCCUUUCAUCGUUUUUGUUUGAUUCCCACUGUCAAAAACAAACCCUUGGAUGAGUGCCAAACAAUAAAUUAGGGUCUUCAUUAGACACAUCAAAUCUAAAUUACUAUUCAAUUAACAAGCCAGUCAACCUGAACUAAUCAACCAAUUAGGCCGUGUGUGUACACAGAAAAGCUAACAAAAGCGCACGAGUCCCCUGGGAAAGCAGUAAAACACUGCAGAAGAGUGACAGUACAAAUGAGAAGCUACUGGUUUAGGAAGCAAGGGGAGGGCGAAAACGUGGCAGAAAGUAAAUGUGACACUCAGAUCACCAUUCACUUGACAUUUGGGGAAGAGAAAAAAAAAUAAAAAACUGAAGAAGACAUACAUGAAAAGAUUCUCAAAGAAAAGAAAAAAAAUCUUGAAGAAAAGAAUCCAUUGAAAGCGUGAUCAAAUUACAUCGUUUGAUAUUUAGAAUGUUUUAAGAUUAAUGUUUCUGAUCAGUAUUUUUAAUGCUAAUGAGAUUUUCUUCAAUUAAAGGCAUGUUUUACUCUGA